This 440-nucleotide ribosomal RNA is filed under the name uncultured bacterium. RNAcentral's name for it is "partial 16S ribosomal RNA". It matches the Rfam family "Bacterial small subunit ribosomal RNA", at positions 338 to 795 of the family's 1533-position model. The record is from RNAcentral.
CCUACGGGUGGCAGCAGUGGGGAAUAUUGGACAAUGGGGGGAACCCUGAUCCAGCGACGCCGCGUGAGUGAAGAAGGAGUGCGGGAUGUAAAGCUCUAUCAGCAGGGAAGAAAAUGACGGUACCUGACGAAGAAGCCCCGGCUAACUACGGGCCAGCAGCCGCGGUAAGACGUAGGGGGCAAGCGGUAUCCGGAUUUACUGGGUGUAAAGGGAGCGUAGACGGUGCAGCAAGUCUGAUGUGAAAGGUCGGGGCCCAACCCCGGGACUGCCUUGGAAACUGUUGAAAUGGAGUCCAGGAGAGGUACGCGCAAUUCCUCUUGUAUCGGUGAACUGCGUAGAUAUUAGGUGGCACCCCAGUCGCGACGGCGGCUUACUGGACUGUAACUGCCGUUGAGGCUCGUCAGCGUUUGGAGCACACAGGAUUAGAUACCCCGGUAGUC